GAUGAACGCUGGCGGCGUGCUUAAUACAUGCAAGUCGAACGAAGCACCUUGGACAGAAUCCUUCGGGAGGAAGACCAUUGUGACUGAGUGGCGGACGGGUGAGUAACGCGUGGGUAACCUGCCUUGUACAGGGGGAUAACAGUUGGAAACGACUGCUAAUACCGCAUAAGCGCACAGUACCGCAUGGUACGGUGUGAAAAACUCCGGUGGUACAAGAUGGACCCGCGUCUGAUUAGCUAGUUGGUGAGGUAACGGCCCACCAAGGCGACGAUCAGUAGCCGACUUGAGAGAGUGAUCGGCCACAUUGGGACUGAGACACGGCCCAAACUCCUACGGGAGGCAGCAGUGGGGAAUAUUGCACAAUGGGGGAAACCCGUGAUGCAGCGACGCCGCGUGAGGAAGAAGUAUUUCGGUAUGUAAAGCUCUAUCAGCAGGGAAGAAAAAAAAGUAGACGGU
Molecule: ribosomal RNA, 456 nt
Filed under: uncultured bacterium
Lineage: Bacteria
Description: bacterial SSU rRNA
Rfam family: Bacterial small subunit ribosomal RNA
Source: RNAcentral